RNAcentral lists this ribosomal RNA (118 nucleotides) under Clostridium sp. OM07-10AC. Lineage: Bacteria; Bacillati; Bacillota; Clostridia; Eubacteriales; Clostridiaceae. The record is from RNAcentral. RNAcentral also lists the same sequence under 1 other name.
UUCGGUGACGAUGCGCUUAGGGGUAACACCCGUUCCCAUCCCGAACACGAUGGUUAAGACCUAAGCGGCCGAUGGUACUAUGCUGGAGACGGCAUGGGAGAGUAGGUGGUCGCCGAAU